UACAGAGGGGGCAAGCGUUGUUCGGAAUUACUGGGCGUAAAGGGCGCGUAGGCGGCCCGUUAAGUCGAACGUGAAAUCCCCGAGCUCAACUCGGGAACUGCGUCCGAUACUGGCGGGCUUGAAUCCGGGAGAGGGAUGCGGAAUUCCAGGUGUAGCGGUGAAAUGCGUAGAUAUCUGGAGGAAUACCGGUGGCGAAGGCGGCAUCCUGGACCGGCAUUGACGCUGAGGCGCGAAAGCCAGGGGAGCAAACGGG
RNAcentral lists this ribosomal RNA (253 nucleotides) under uncultured bacterium. RNAcentral describes it as "partial 16S ribosomal RNA". It matches the Rfam family "Bacterial small subunit ribosomal RNA", at positions 524 to 776 of the family's 1533-position model. The record is from RNAcentral.